Molecule: signal recognition particle RNA, 295 nt
Filed under: Phascolarctos cinereus (koala)
Lineage: Eukaryota; Metazoa; Chordata; Mammalia; Diprotodontia; Phascolarctidae
Description: Metazoan signal recognition particle RNA (ENSPCIG00000001910.2)
Rfam family: Metazoan signal recognition particle RNA
About the family: The signal recognition particle (SRP) is a universally conserved ribonucleoprotein. It is involved in the co-translational targeting of proteins to membranes.
Source: RNAcentral
GCCAAAUGUAGGCACAUGCCUGUAGUCCUAGCCAUGCAGAAGUCUGAGGCUAGAGGAUCACUUGAGCACAUUUGUCCUGUGCUAUGUGUGCCAUGCUGAUUAGAUAUCUGCAAUAAGUUUGGCAUUAAUAUAGUGGCUUUCUGGGAAUGGGGGACCACCAGGUUGCCCAAGGAAGGAUGAACCCAUUCAUGUCAGAAGUAGAGCAGGUCAAAACUCCCAUGCCUAUUAGUAGUGGAAUCAAACCUUUGAAUAGCACUGUGUUCCGUCGUUGGCAAGAGAGUGAAACAUGGAGUCU